Molecule: non-coding RNA, 113 nt
Organism: Chloroflexi bacterium RBG_13_51_36
Lineage: Bacteria; Bacillati; Chloroflexota
Source: Rfam
UAGACCUUUAAAUCAGUCCAGUGAGGCUGGUAAGGGGAGACAUGCUUAAGCACAUCGCAAUAGAAGCAUCAAGUAAGACCUCUUGCCGGUUUUAUGGCAGGAGGUUUUUUGAU